Molecule: RNA transcript, 2146 nt
Organism: Lolium rigidum
Lineage: Eukaryota; Viridiplantae; Streptophyta; Magnoliopsida; Poales; Poaceae
Gene name: auxin-induced protein AUX28-like
Exons: 5
Source: RefSeq, a predicted model, not a curated record
CACUCUUCCUGGCGGCGGCGGCUGGGAGUAAAACGACGAGCGGGCAGCCGACGGCGCGGAACGGGAUGGCGGCGCGGAACGGCGGGCUCCUGGGCGACGGGGAACAGCGUGAUCGUCAUUGGCGGCGGGGAACGGGAUGCAGGUACUUUUUAUCGGAGAGCAGUGCGGCUGCGGCAACAAAGGGAGCUAUGAUGGCCUGGUUCCUGCUCAUUGUGGAUGGGACGGUGGCAGUGUUCAUUGUUGUUUCUCAGCGCUCCUCCGCGCCGGUGCGGGACCAAGUCAAUGUAUGCUUCAGAAGCAGAGGUGGGUGUCAAAUUGACUCGAUGAUUCAGAGGCAGAUGUGGAUGCCAAAAUGAACUACACUUCCUUCUUGAUGGUUCCUGAUGGCUGUGGCGGUUCUGGACUGACCAUGGAGAAAUCUCCUUCUGCAUUGAAAUGUAUCCUUUUUUUUCUUUUUAGAUUCAAGGAUGUGAUUAAAACCCGACACUUUCUACCAGUGUAGGAUAGUAUGAGACUAUCUAAUGCCUAUAACUAUAGUUUUUCUUGUAGAGUUGUUUUCUUAUACAGUUUUCUUUCUCUUUUGUUGGCAUGUUUAUAUUCUUGCUGUCGCUGAUCUUCAGUUACUGCAGGUGCAGCAAGGAGGAACAACCAGCAGAUUUAGCAUUUAUUUUGCCAAAACUGCAGGUUACUGUAAUUAAAAAUCAGUGUGCCUUUAAUCGGCAUCAACAAGCUAUCGCGGCGGUCUCGUUGAGUCAUUGUUGGACAUGGUACCAUAAUUUAGCAUUUAGUUAUUUGGUUUGAUGCACACAUUUGAAAAUCGACAUCCCAAAACCGGUUUCAGUAUUUGCAGUUUGCAGCUAGAUGAUGAAAUGUUUGAUCCUGCUGAUCAACACGGCAUUAUCUAGAUGUUGGCCUUCCACGGCAAGACCAUUUGUAUACUUUGAAAUGCUUGUUCAUGACAUGUUUUGGCACUGUUAGGUUCCUUCGUGUGAGAUUUUCAUGGAUGCAUGGGCUGAGUUGAGGUGGUUGGUCUUGUGAUAUGUUAGUUUGUUUUUUUCCUUUGCGUAUGAAACAGGUAUUUCUCGUAGAAAGAAACGGAAGGUUCUUGCAUUCUAUGUCAGUUAAACACCUUUGUUUCCCUCUCUGUUUGAGAUGAUUGGCUUGUUUCAUAGUCCUACUCUUGAGCACCGCCGAUGAUUAUAAGUGAUCCGUGAUCCAUACAUAUGGAAUAGUUUCAUAAUUAGGUAAAUAUGGUGCUACUGGUUAUAAUCAUAGGCAUAUGGUCCUACUCUAGCAAUCUAAAUUGGCAAUUCACGAACAGACUGUAUAAAGUAAAAUGUAGAUGUUACCCAAGUCAUGUUCCCCACAAUCAAAUCCUUAUUCAUGGAAUUCAUAUACCUUCACAUGUGAUCCUUAUUCAUGGAUCUCCCUCAUGCAUGCUCACAUAUGUAGUACUCCCUUUGUCCCAAAUUAAUUGAAACUAUCAAAUAUUUCGCAUGAGAAGGUAUAUGAAUCUUGGAUCAAACCCUUUCUGUGCACAAGACAAAAAAGUCAGGGGCCAUAUCCUUGGGCACCUCAUGAAACCAGGGUCAUUGUUAUGACACCGACGAAGAGGCCGCCGACGAAGCACAUACUGGGCGACAGCCGGAGCAGGGCCUCGAGGACCGGGAUGGUCGCCAUGGACGACGAUCAGUACAACACAUCCGCCAAGGCACAAGAGGUGGCAGUAGCAGCCAAGAAGGCUGAGCAGCUAUUUCUGAAGGUGAGCAUUGAUGUGGCGCUAUACCUCAGGAAGGUCGACCUCCGGAUGUACGAAGGGUACAGGUAGCUAGCUCAGAUAGGCACUGGAUGUGUUCUUUUUUGCCAAGUCCUUCCCGCCUUCAGGCGCGGGCAACCAGCUUUGACCGAGGUUAAUUUGCUCACAGCUUUUACUCUGUAGAUAUUACAGCGGGGGAAGGGUCGAACCAUGCAUUGGUCAAUUUCCCUAAUAUCAGUUCAGAUUGUAUGAUCAUGUGGACGACCAUUUCUGAUGUCAGGCCCACCCUCUGCAAAAAUUGAUGUAUAUGGCUGAUUUAUGAUGUGUUAUAACUUCUUUUAAGUAUGUGAGGUGCAUGUACCAUACUCCAAUAUAAUCCUGAAUUCCAUA